ACUCCAGCUACAGUAUCAGGAUCCAGAACAUAAGCUCUUUUUUUUUCAGAACGUGAGGCUAACUCAGCGACCUCAGUUUUCCAGAAAAUCCGAGCAUUUGAGCCCGAUGAGCUUAAGUCACUUCUCCCUAAAGAAGUAAUAGUAUACUAUUCCGAAGAAGAAGCUUCGUGUUUCCUUGAGAGAGAAGAAAUAGGAAGCAAAUGAGGGCGUGGAGAAACUUUCUUCUUAGUAUUCAGGAGAUUUGGAGAGACUAGACAACGUACAGAGGAUGAUUCAGUCAUGGAUGAUGAUGAUUGAUGAUUCUCCAGAGCCAGAAAGAAGCUCUGGUCUUAGUCUAACCAAACCUUAUCCGGACUUGGCUUGAAGCUAGAAAAAUAUUAGAACAAAGUUAGAUUCCCAAUAUGGAUGUUUCUGAGGAGGAGUUUGACAGUGAUUAUGCGAGCGGGUCAUCUGAAGGAUCAAGCCAAGGAGAAAACUUUGUGGAUUUUAUGCUGUCUGAAAUGCUUGCUGAUAUGUCUGAUGAUUCAGAAGAUGUGCUUGAUUAUGCAAUUGCAGCGUUCAUCUCUUCAAGUAACUCACUUCAAGUAACUCACUUCAACCCGAGACUAAGCAAGUGUUAGCGCAGCUUUGGCCUCCGCGAUCAGAUCACAAGCCUAAUGUGUCUGAUACAAUGAAGGUCCUCGAUCAUCUCUCUGGUGUGAGGAUGGGGUCGCCUUUAUACAUUGCCUCGAUGGCUCAUAUUCAGGCUGAUGUAAUUCACCGAGAGGCCUUCUUAGCAUUUCGUGAUCCCGAGGAUAAGGUUUGCUACUUGGAGUACAAGACUGGGAAGAAAAGGGAUGAAUGAUUUUGUUACUUUUUCACUUCUGACUUUUAUUAUGUGACUUAUGUAUAUGACUUUUUUUAUUUGUAAACUGGUUUCAUAUCGAGUUUUAUGUUUUCUCAGUUCAGUGGUGAACUUCAUUCAAUCAAA
Molecule: long non-coding RNA, 970 nt
Organism: Eutrema salsugineum
Lineage: Eukaryota; Viridiplantae; Streptophyta; Magnoliopsida; Brassicales; Brassicaceae
Exons: 2
Source: RefSeq, a predicted model, not a curated record